RNAcentral lists this ribosomal RNA (591 nucleotides) under Acrodontium crateriforme. RNAcentral's name for it is "LSU rRNA". It matches the Rfam family "Eukaryotic large subunit ribosomal RNA", at positions 76 to 689 of the family's 3401-position model. Lineage: Eukaryota; Fungi; Ascomycota; Dothideomycetes; Mycosphaerellales; Teratosphaeriaceae. The record is from RNAcentral.
UGCCUUAGUAACGGCGAAGUGAAGCGGCAACAGCUCAAAUUUGAAAUCUGGCGCAAGCCCGAGUUGUAAUUUGUAGAGGAUGCUUCUGGGCAGCGGCUGGUCUAAGUUCCUUGGAACAGGACGUCAUAGAGGGUGAGAAUCCCGUAUGCGACCAGCUGGCACCCGUCACGUAGCUCCUUCGACGAGUCGAGUUGUUUGGGAAUGCAGCUCUAAAUGGGAGGUAAAUUUCUUCUAAAGCUAAAUACCGGCCAGAGACCGAUAGCGCACAAGUAGAGUGAUCGAAAGAUGAAAAGCACUUUGGAAAGAGAGUUAAAAAGCACGUGAAAUUGUUGAAAGGGAAGCGCAUGCAACCAGACUUGUCGGUGGUGUUCCGCCGGUCUUCUGACCGGUCUACUCGCCGCCGACAGGCCAGCAUCGUUUGGGAUCGCCGGAUAAAGGCCCUGGAAAUGUAGCUCCUCGGAGUGUUAUAGUCCUAGGCACAAUACGGCGCAUCCCGAGCGAGGUCCCGCGCUUUCGGCUAGGAUGCUGGCGUAAAUGGUCGUAUGCGGCCCGUCUUGAAAACACGGACCAAGGAGUCUACCAUCUAUGCAA